GACGUAGGGUGCGAGCGUUGUCCGGAAUCAUUGGGCGUAAAGCGCGUGUAGGCGGCUCGGUAAGUCUGCUGUGAAAGUCCAGGGCUCAACCCUGGGAUGCCGGUGGAUACUGUCGAGCUCGAGUCCGGAAGAGGCGAGUGGAAUUCCUGGUGUAGCGGUGAAAUGCGCAGAUAUCAGGAGGAACACCAAUGGCGAAGGCAGCUCGCUGGGACGUGACUGACGCUGAGACGCGAAAGCGUGGGGAGCAAACAGG
RNAcentral lists this ribosomal RNA (253 nucleotides) under uncultured bacterium. Its description in RNAcentral is "partial 16S ribosomal RNA". It matches the Rfam family "Bacterial small subunit ribosomal RNA", at positions 524 to 776 of the family's 1533-position model. The record is from RNAcentral.